This 490-nucleotide ribosomal RNA is filed under the name uncultured bacterium. Its description in RNAcentral is "partial 16S ribosomal RNA". It matches the Rfam family "Bacterial small subunit ribosomal RNA", at positions 28 to 507 of the family's 1533-position model. The record is from RNAcentral.
GAUGAACGCCAGCUACAGGCUUAACACAUGCAAGUCGCGGGGCAGCAUGGGGGUUGCUUGCAACUCCCGAUGGCGACCGGCGCACGGGUGAGUAACGCGUAUCCAACCUGCCCUUCACCACGGGAUAACCCGGCGAAAGUCGGACUAAUACCGUAUGUUGUCCAUUGACGGCAUCCGAUUUGGACGAAAGGCUUUGCGGUGAAGGAUGGGGAUGCGUCCGAUUAGCCAGACGGCGGGGUAACGGCCCACCGUGGCUACGAUCGGUAGGGGUUCUGAGAGGAAGGUCCCCCACACUGGAACUGAGACACGGUCCAGACUCCUACGGGAGGCAGCAGUGAGGAAUAUUGGUCAAUGGGCGUAAGCCUGAACCAGCCAAGUAGCGUGCAGGAUGACGGCCCUAUGGGUUGUAAACUGCUUUUAUGCGGGGAUAAAGUGGCCCACGUGUGGGCUUUUGCAGGUACCGCAUGAAUAAGGACCGGCUAAUUCCGUG